RNAcentral lists this ribosomal RNA (456 nucleotides) under uncultured bacterium. Its description in RNAcentral is "bacterial SSU rRNA". It matches the Rfam family "Bacterial small subunit ribosomal RNA", at positions 340 to 786 of the family's 1533-position model. The record is from RNAcentral.
UACGGAAGGCAGCAGUGGGGAAUAUUGCACAAUGGGCGAAAGCCUGAUGCAGCUAUGCCGCGUGUAUGAAGAAGGCCUUAGGGUUGUAAAGUACUUUCAUCGGGGAGGAAAAACAAAACUAAUAAUUUUAUUUCUUGACGUUACCCGAAAAAGAAGCACCGGCUAACUCCGUGCCAGCAGCCGCGGUAAUACGGAGGGUGCUAGCGUUAAUCAGAAUUACUGGGCGUAAAGAGCACGUAGGUGGUUUUUUUAAGUCAGAUGUGAAAUCCCUGGGCUUAACCUAGGAACUGCAUUUUGAAACUGAAAUACUAGAGUAUCGUAGAGGGAGGUAGAAUUCUAGGUGUAGCGGUGAAAUGCGUAGAUAUCUGGAGGAAUACCUGUGGCGAAAGCGGCCUCCUAAACGAAUACUGACACUGAGGUGCGAAAGCGUGGGGAGCAAACGAGGAUUAGGAUACC